This 450-nucleotide ribosomal RNA is filed under the name uncultured bacterium. Its description in RNAcentral is "partial 16S ribosomal RNA". It matches the Rfam family "Bacterial small subunit ribosomal RNA", at positions 354 to 796 of the family's 1533-position model. The record is from RNAcentral.
GUGGGGAAUCUUCCGCAAUGGACGAAAGUCUGACGGAGCGACGCCGCGUGAGUGAAGAAGGCCUUCGGGUCGUAAAGCUCUGUCAUCAGGGACGAACGGCCGGUGGAGUGGAAAGCCACCGGAUUGACGGUACCUGAGAAGGAAGCCACGGCUAACUACGUGCCAGCAGCCGCGGUAAUACGUAGGUGGCAAGCGUUGUCCGGAAUUAUUUGGCGUAAAGCGCGCGCAGGUGGGAUCUUAAGUCCAUUUUUAAAGUUCGGAGCUCAACUCCGUGAUGGGAUGGAAACUGGGAUUCUUGAGUACCGGAGAGGAAAGCGGAAUUCCCCGUGUAGCGGUGAAAUGCGUAGAUAUGGGGAGGAACACCAGUGGCGAAGGCGGCUUUCUGGACGGUGUCUGACACUGAGGCGCGAAAGCCAGGGGAGCGAACGGGAUUAGAAACCCGUGUAGUCC